RNAcentral lists this ribosomal RNA (465 nucleotides) under uncultured bacterium. RNAcentral's name for it is "partial 16S ribosomal RNA". It matches the Rfam family "Bacterial small subunit ribosomal RNA", at positions 28 to 507 of the family's 1533-position model. The record is from RNAcentral.
GACGAACGCUGGCGGCGUGCUUAACACAUGCAAGUCGAACGGAAAGGCCCCUUUGGGGGUACUCGAGUGGCGAACGGGUGAGUAACACGUGAGUAACCUGCCCUUGACUUCGGGAUAACUUCAGGAAACUGGGGCUAAUACCGGAUAGGAAUCCUUGCUGCAUGGUGGGGGUUGGAAAGCUUCGGCGGUUUUGGAUGGACUCGCGGCUUAUCAGCUUGUUGGUGGGGUAGUGGCUUACCAAGGCUUUGACGGGUAGCCGGCCUGAGAGGGCGACCGGCCACAUUGGGACUGAGAUACGGCCCAGACUCCGACGGGAGGCAGCAGGGGGGAAUAUUGCACAAGGGGCGGAAGCCUGAUGCAGCAACGCCGCGUGCGGGAGGACGGCCUUCGGGUUGUAAACCGCUUUCAGCAGGGGCGAAGCUUGUGGUGACGGUACCUGCAGAAGAAGCACCGGCUAACUACGUG